RNAcentral lists this ribosomal RNA (256 nucleotides) under uncultured bacterium. RNAcentral describes it as "partial 16S ribosomal RNA". It matches the Rfam family "Bacterial small subunit ribosomal RNA", at positions 524 to 780 of the family's 1533-position model. The record is from RNAcentral.
UACGAAGGGGGCUAGCGUUGUUCGGAAUUACUGGGCGUAAAGGGCGCGUAGGCGGUGAUCUUUGUCAGAGGUGAAAGCCCGGGGCUCAACUCCGGAAUUGCCUUUGAAACGGGAUUGCUUGAGUCCGAGAGAGGAUGGCGGAAUUCCUAGUGUAGAGGUGAAAUUCGUAGAUAUUAGGAAGAACACCGGUGGCGAAGGCGGCCAUCUGGCUCGGUACUGACGCUGAUGCGCGAAAGCGUGGGGAGCAACAGGAUUA